AUUGAACGCUGGCGGAAUGCUUUACACAUGCAAGUCGAACGGCAGCACGGACUUCGGUCUGGUGGCGAGUGGCGAACGGGUGAGUAAUAUAUCGGAACGUGCCCAGUCGUGGGGGAUAACGUAGUGAAAAUUACGCUAAUACCGCAUACGAUCUACGGAUGAAAGCGGGGGAUCGCAAGACCUCGCGCGAUUGGAACGGCCGAUAUCAGAUUAGGUAGUUGGUGAGGUAAAGGCUCACCAAGCCAACGAUCUGUAGCUGGUCUGAGAGGACGACCAGCCACACUGGAACUGAGACACGGUCCAGACUCCUACGGGAGGCAGCAGUGGGGAAUUUUGGACAAUGGACGCAAGUCUGAUCCAGCCAUUCCGCGUGCAGGACGAAGGCCUUCGGGUUGUAAACUGCUUUUGUACAGAACGAAAAGGUUUCUAUUAAUACUAGGAGCUCAUGACGGUACUGUAAGAAUAAGCACCGGCUAACUACGUGCA
This 486-nucleotide ribosomal RNA is filed under the name uncultured bacterium. Its description in RNAcentral is "bacterial SSU rRNA". It matches the Rfam family "Bacterial small subunit ribosomal RNA", at positions 30 to 509 of the family's 1533-position model. The record is from RNAcentral.